RNAcentral lists this ribosomal RNA (465 nucleotides) under uncultured bacterium. Its description in RNAcentral is "partial 16S ribosomal RNA". It matches the Rfam family "Bacterial small subunit ribosomal RNA", at positions 339 to 795 of the family's 1533-position model. The record is from RNAcentral.
CUACGGGUUGCUGCAGUGGGGAAUAUUGGACAGUGGGGGAAACCCUGAUCCAGCAAUGCCGCGUGUGUGAAGAAGGCCUGCGGGUUGUAAAGCACUUUCGGUUGGGAGGACUGCUUCUAGCACUAAUAUUGUUGGAAGUUGACGUUACCUUCAGAAGAAGCACCGGCUAACUCCGUGCCAGCAGCCGCGGUAAUACGGAGGGUGCAAGCGUUAAUCGGAAUUACUGGGCGUAAAGCGCGCGUAGGCGGCUAGAUCAGUCGGGUGUGAAAGCCCCGGGCUUAACCUGGGAACUGCAUCCGAUACUGUCUAGCUUGAGUACAGGAGAGGAGAGUGGAAUUCCACAUGUAGCGGUGAAAUGCGUAGAUAUGUGGAGGAACACCAAUGGCGAAGGCAGCUCUCUGGCCUGAUACUGACGCUGAGGUGCGAAAGCGUGGGGAUCAAACAGGAUUAGAUACCCUGGUAGUC